RNAcentral lists this ribosomal RNA (254 nucleotides) under uncultured bacterium. RNAcentral describes it as "partial 16S ribosomal RNA". It matches the Rfam family "Bacterial small subunit ribosomal RNA", at positions 524 to 776 of the family's 1533-position model. The record is from RNAcentral.
UACGUAGGGGGCAAGCGUUGUCCGGAUUUAUUGGGCGUAAAGAGCUCGUAGGCGGCUCGGCAAGUCGGGUGUGAAAACUUCAGGCUCAACCUGGAGCGGCCACUCGAUACUGCUAUGGCUUGAGUCCGGUAGGGGACCACGGAAUUCCUGGUGUAGCGGUGAAAUGCGUAGAUAUCAGGAGGAACACCGGUGGCGAAGGCGGCUACCUGGACAGAAACUGACGCUGAGGCGCGAAAGCUAGGGGAGCAAACAGG